RNAcentral lists this ribosomal RNA (253 nucleotides) under uncultured bacterium. RNAcentral's name for it is "partial 16S ribosomal RNA". It matches the Rfam family "Bacterial small subunit ribosomal RNA", at positions 524 to 776 of the family's 1533-position model. The record is from RNAcentral.
UACAGGGGGUGCAAACGUUGCUCGGAAUCAUUGGGCGUAAAGCGCACGUAGGCGGUCUGUUAUGUCGGAUGUGAAAGCCCUCGGCUCAACUGAGGAAGUGCAUCCGAAACUGGCAGGCUAGAGUACUAAAGAGGGUCGCGGAAUUCCCGGUGUAGAGGUGAAAUUCGUAGAUAUCGGGAGGAACACCGGUGGCGAAGGCGGCGACCUGGGUAGAUACUGACGCUGAGGUGCGAAAGCGUGGGGGGCAAACAGG